AGAAGGGAGGAAGGAAGCAAACUCCGGCUUCUUAUAUUUCAAAUUGAAUUGGGAGCAAGAUAUUUUAACGGCCACAAUUUAUAAUAGUACCCUCAUACCACAAAACAGGCUUAUCAAAAGCCCAAGUAAAAAUCCUCACACUCGAAAAUUAACUUACUUCCCAGACCCUUAUACUACUGAAUCAUGUCUAAAAAUAAAAAGACAGGAGAAUUACAGCUGUGGAUGGCCAAUUUACCUUGUGCAGUCAAAGCAUGUCUCCUGUUACCUUGCAGCAAAUGAAUGUCAUCUGCAUAUCAAUAAAUAUAUCGAAGGGAUGCAGUAUCUGAAACCCAUGUCAACUAUAAAAAGGUAUUAUGUUAAUUAACAAGUGUGCCAACACAUGAAGAACUGUGCAAUUUUAUUCUAUAAUCUUUUUUAAAUUAUCACAAUCUAAUUUUAAAGAAAAAUUUUAAAAGGCUAAGAACCAGUACUAAAAAAUUACGCAAUGCCAAUUCUCUUCAUGUCACCCUCCAGUAAAAUAACUUGCUAAGUCUUUUCAAACAGAAAAGCAAUAUACUAGUAGUUGAUUUAGAAAAGAGUAAUUUCUGUAACUCAGUUUUCUACAUUAGGGUCAAGCUUUAUAGUAGGGGAAUGAAAGAGUGCCAAAUCACACAUUGUGUAAUCGGAGUGCUACCUGGAAUACAUUAGGUAGAUUUUUACUUGUUAUAAUUUAAAAACUGUAAGAUAAAAUUCUACAGAAGUGAAUUAAAUAUCCUAAACUGACCUUUGUGUAUUCACAAAGUAUACUUACUUAGUAUGCUCACAUAGUAGAAGUUUAAUAUAUGAAGCUCAUUAAAGAUUGAUAGUUUCACUGAUACAUGAUGAAAAAUAUAUUUAAAUCUCAGAAACAUAUGUUGACCACAUGUGCACAUGUAAAGCUUUCAAAGUUACUUUAAAAUGUGAAAAUGAGUAAAGCUCCUGUUAUCCUUGAUAAAUGUCAGAUGUCAUGCACUCAUGUCCAAUAUAUACUAUUUUUUACAAAGCAGAGUCCCCAGAAAAGGCAAUUUUGAAUCCACCGGUAGCAUGUAAUGGUUAUACAUAACAAAUC
Phyllostomus discolor (pale spear-nosed bat) is the source of this 1087-nucleotide long non-coding RNA. RefSeq lists it as uncharacterized. NCBI's taxonomy places the organism in Eukaryota, Metazoa, Chordata, Mammalia, Chiroptera, Phyllostomidae. The transcript is spliced from 3 exons. The record is from RefSeq and is a predicted model, not a curated record.